GACGAACGCUGGCGGCGUGCUUAACACAUGCAAGUCGAACGGUAAGGCCCUUCGGGGUACACGAGUGGCGAACGGGUGAGUAACACGUGGGUGAUCUGCCCUGCGCUUCGGGAUAAGCCUGGGAAACUGGGUCUAAUACCGGAUAGGACCACUGCCUGCAUGGGUGGUGGUGGAAAGCUUUUGCGGUGUGGGAUGGGCCCGCGGCCUAUCAGCUUGUUGGUGGGGUGAUGGCGUACCAAGGCGACGACGGGUAGCCGGCCUGAGAGGGUGACCGGCCACACUGGGACUGAGAUACGGCCCAGACUCCUACGGGAGGCAGCAGUGGGGAAUAUUGCACAAUGGGCGCAAGCCUGAUGCAGCGACGCCGCGUGAGGGAUGACGGCCUUCGGGUUGUAAACCUCUUUCAGCACCGACGAAGCGCAAGUGACGGUAGGUGCAGAAGAAGGACCGGCCAACUACGUGCCAGCCGCCGCCGUAA
Molecule: ribosomal RNA, 478 nt
Filed under: uncultured bacterium
Lineage: Bacteria
Description: partial 16S ribosomal RNA
Rfam family: Bacterial small subunit ribosomal RNA
Source: RNAcentral